GACGAACGCUGGCGGCGUGCCUAAUACAUGCAAGUCGAACGAAGCUUUUUUAACUGGUGCUUGCACCGACUUAAACAACUGAGUGGCGAACGGGUGAGUAACACGUGGGUAACCUGCCCCAAAGCGGGGGAUAACAUUUGGAAACAGAUGCUAAUACCGCAUAACCACAGAAACCACAUGGUUUCUGUGUCAAAGAUGGUUUCGGCUAUCACUUUGGGAUGGACCCGCGGCGUAUUAGCUAGUUGGUAAGGUAAUGGCUUACCAAGGCAAUGAUACGUAGCCGAACUGAGAGGUUGAUCGGCCACAUUGGGACUGAGACACGGCCCAAACUCCUACGGGAGGCAGCAGUAGGGAAUCUUCCGCAAUGGACGAAAGUCUGAUGGAGCAACGCCGCGUGAGUGAAGAAGGUUUUCGGAUCGUAAAACUCUGUUGUCAGAGAAGAACGUGUGCGAGAGUAACUGUUCGUGCAGUGACGGUAUCUGGCCAGAAAGCCACGGCUAACUACGUGCCAGCAGCCGCCGUAA
Molecule: ribosomal RNA, 524 nt
Filed under: uncultured bacterium
Lineage: Bacteria
Description: partial 16S ribosomal RNA
Rfam family: Bacterial small subunit ribosomal RNA
Source: RNAcentral